Molecule: ribosomal RNA, 255 nt
Filed under: uncultured bacterium
Lineage: Bacteria
Description: partial 16S ribosomal RNA
Rfam family: Bacterial small subunit ribosomal RNA
Source: RNAcentral
UACGUAGGGGGGCAAGCGUUUGUCCGGAAUCAUUGGGCGUAAAGAGCUCGUAGGCGGUUUGUCGCGUCUGCCGUGAAAGUCCGGGGCUCAACUCCGGAUCUGCGGUGGGUACGGGCAGACUAGAGUGAUGUAGGGGAGACUGGAAUUCCUGGUGUAGCGGUGAAAUGCGCAGAUAUCAGGAGGAACACCGGUGGCGAAGGCGGAUCUCUGGGCCGAUACUGACGCUGAGGAGCGAAAGCGUGGGGAGCGAACAGG